This is a non-coding RNA of Podarcis lilfordi (Lilford's wall lizard), 69 nucleotides long. Lineage: Eukaryota; Metazoa; Chordata; Lepidosauria; Squamata; Lacertidae. The record is from the annotation of a GenBank genome assembly.
GGCAUAGCUCAGUAACAAAGCUUCUGCUUUGCAUGCAGAAGGUCCUAGGCUCAAUCCACAGUGGCAUCU